CGUUCCAUCAUCCGCACAUUAUUCUUUGGACGUUUUCCCACAAUGCCGAGGGGCUAAGCGUCCUUCACCCGCAUCCAAACUUUGCAGAUUGCAGGUGCCGCAACCAGGUGAGGCCUGAUGAGGAGAUAUCUAGACGGUAAUCCCUACAAUGAGGCCCGCAGGGGUGUAAGCAUUCAACAUGUCCUUCUGGAAGUGCCAGGAAUCGAGAUAGUGAACGACUCAAAUUACAUCUGAGCUCCAGAGUCAAAAACAAUUGUCAAAAGUGUCAAGUUGUCAGUUGUUGUUCAGAGAAAAAUGCAGUUGUCACUUUUUUUUUUGUGCCUUUAUUUUGAAGAGCCCACUUUUAUUCUGUUACUUCCUUUAUUACCGACGCUUGACUUCCUGCUCCUGUCGCAUCCGACGUCGACAGCAUACUCACGUUACUCCAGGACUGGAGGGUCAUUACGAGCUGUGUGUGGCUAACAAGCGGAGCAAAGUUAGCGGCCUCGGAAGCGGAAGAAGGAUACGGGACGUGUUGGAACGUACUGAUUUCCGGUACGGAACCUUCCGGAGGGUUGGCAGUGCAGGUUUAACGUCAUGUGACCUGACUGAGUCCACGUCCACGGUAAACAUACAGAAAGUUCCGGAGCAGAGUGUUUUGAAGAAGAAGAAGCAGCAGCGGCGCUUUGUAAAAACUGGAGACACUGAAAAGAGGACGAGUGGCACCUGUGUCGACGUCUCCAGUCUGUCCCGCCUCCUCCUUUGGCUCCUCCCACAUCCGUGAAGCCCCUCAAAGCCUGAGUGUCCAGUAAACCGUUCUCCCCAGGCUGAUACUGGGGUUCCGUGGAGGUGAAGUAGUCCUCCAGAAAGCCCUGCAAGUACUCGAAGGUGGGCCUCUCUUCCGGGUCCUUCCGCCAGCAGGAGAGCAUGAGCUCGUGCAAGGACCCGGGGCACUCGGACGGACACGGCAUGCGGUAGCCGCGCUCCACCUGGUCCAGCACCUCGCGGUUCACCAUGCCUGCGGGGGAACCACAGCUGGGUGACGCUGCUCGUUGCACGUGCUGAUUUUUGCACCAUGAAACAAAUCCAUCCAUUUUCUAACGCUUAUUCCCUUUCGGGGUCGCGGGGGGCGCCGGCGCCUAUCUCAGCUACAAUCGGGCGGAAGGCGGGGUACACCCUGGACAAGUCGCCACCUCAUCGCAGGGCCAUGAAACAAAUCGAUAUCAUUAAUUAAUUAAUCAUUUUAAUUCAUUUGUAAUUUAAUUAAUUCUCUUAAUUAUCGCAUCAUGCCAUGUUUUUUCUGCUGUGUCGACAAAUUGUUGUUAUCUUUGGUGAUAAUAAUACAUUUUGGCACAAAAAGCUAUGAGCAAAUCUAAUUUAAUGUUUUGAAUGCAACUUCAAAAGCGUACAAUUGUCUGCAAAGACACAUUUGGCUUCCUGUGCACUUAAGAUGUGACUUUAAGGUUUUACUACUUACGUAUAAAAUACUACACGGUCUAGCUCCAUCCUAUCUUGCCGAUUGUAUUGUACCGUAUGUCCCGGUAAAAAAUCUGCGUUCAAAAGACUCCGGCUUAUUAGUGAUUCCUUGCUGAUUAUCGGUCCUGCUAGACACCGACCUCUAUUUAAUAAUACAACUUUAACAUUUGACAACCAAAUAAUAAAACAAGGUGACUCGGUAAAAAAUCUGGGUAUUAUCUUCGACCCAACUCUCUCCUUUGAGUCACACAUUAAAAGCGUUACUAAAACGGCCUUCUUUCAUCUCCGUAAUAUCGCUAAAAUCCGCUCCAUUUUGUCCACUAAAGACGCCGAGAUCAUUAUCCAUGCGUUUGUUACGUCUCGUCUCAAUUACAGUAACGUAUUAUUUUCGGGUCUCCCCAUGUCUAGCAUUAAAAGAUUACAGUUGGUACAAAAUGCGGCUGCUAGACUUUUGACAAGAACAAGAAAGUUUGAUCACAUUACGCCUGUACUGGCUCACCUGCACUGGCUUCCUGUGCACUUAAGAUGUGACUUUAAGGUUUUACUACUUACGUAUAAAAUACUACACGGUCUAGCUCCAUCCUAUCUUGCCGAUUGUAUUGUACCAUAUGUCCCGGCAAGAAAUCUGCGUUCAAAGGACUCCGGCUUAUUAGUGAUUCCUUGCUGAUUAUCGGUCCUGCUAGACACCGACCUCUAUUUAAUAAUACAACUUUAACAUUUGACAACCAAAUAAUAACACAAGGUGACUCGGUAAGUUAACAAAGAUCAAAAUAAAAUGGAUUCUCAAUAUUUGUUAGCAAUAAUAUUUCACAUUUUGAAGUGCAAUUUCCACCCCAAUUGGCAAAACAGGGUUUGUUUUGUUGUCUUUUUGUUGCCAAUUGCAAUUGUCUGUGUAAUGGCUUUUUAAGGUCAUCAAUGCAAAACAAGUAUUUAAAUAAAUAUUCAACAUCUUAAAGUGUAUGCUUUGGGUUGUCUUUUGUUGUCAUCACAUCAUC
Molecule: long non-coding RNA, 2450 nt
Organism: Nerophis ophidion (straightnose pipefish)
Lineage: Eukaryota; Metazoa; Chordata; Actinopteri; Syngnathiformes; Syngnathidae
Exons: 6
Source: RefSeq, a predicted model, not a curated record